Molecule: long non-coding RNA, 3533 nt
Organism: Magallana angulata
Lineage: Eukaryota; Metazoa; Mollusca; Bivalvia; Ostreida; Ostreidae
Exons: 2
Source: RefSeq, a predicted model, not a curated record
GGCUUAGAGUCGCAUUUAUUAUUGUAAAAACAUUUUACAUAAUCUUUGUCGCAAAUUUCUAAUCCGUAAGAAAAUGGUCACGUAGUAAUAAAUAGCUUUAUUUUUGUAACAGAUGUCUCAAUUUUUUUGGCUUUUUUAAUUUUUUCAAUUUUUCUCUCAUUGAAAAAAUGUCAGCUAUUUUGUAAUUAUUUUCAUUGAAAUCAUUGUCUUUAUAAAUACCAAACUGAAACAACGUGUGAAGCCUAGUUUAUUUAUUACUCUUAAGCUCUUGCGCUUACUAAACGAUUCAAUUUUCGUAUCAACAAUGUGGCUUAAUGUUAUUCUUCAGAAUAGGAUGUUUACACAGAGUACUGUUUUGUAUGAAAUUGAAAUCAUUUGGAAAAGAGUGAAACGACAUUUUUCUCGAUAAAACCCGAUAUCGCACGUAGAUUAAUGCCCCGAAUCACCGAGGAGCGAGUCGUUUACCGCCCGCUAGGAGGGGGUGGUUAUUCUCAAACCCGACGAUCGUACACUGCCCGACAUGGCUUGCAUGUGAGAUCGCCACAAUGUCGUGUUUUAGUUUAUAGAGCAUAACAACAAAAUCCAGUCAGCCUGUCGUCGGGCCUUUACAUUCAGCUCGUAUGCUUUAUGGCAAAAGAGGCUUUAGUUUCCACAAAUAAUGUCUCAUUCAACUUUUCCUAUUAUUCGAAAGAAAAAAAACCCCUUCUGACUGCGAAAAUCCACAUGCCCUAAUCUUUUUACCCCCUCGCUCUCUCACUCUCUCUCCCUCGCGAAUGCUGGUUUUUGUUUGGCCCCGGUCUAUCUUUAUUAUAUCUCCUAUGCAUGUUUUAGUAUAUCUUGGCGAGUUUUAUUAAGCAUUUUGUUACACAGAUGUAUGGGUUUUAAAUCAUCCUUAAAAUUUGACUGUUUUCACUCAAUUUGCGACCCAGAGAAACAGUUGUUACAUGACACAGGCAUGAAGGAUUUUCCGCACAUGGAUUUUGUUAACGGUUUUUUGAAGUUGUCCUGUUUCAAAUUAUCUUUUAAUUUUGAAAAAGAGAAUAGUACGGUACAAUGAAGUUAGUAAUCGAGUAAACCUGAGUGCAGAAGAAGUACUUGCGAUACAAUUGAUGCAUUGAAGAUUUCCCGUCUCUCUUUAAGUAAAACAAGAUUAGUUCCUUAUCGAAUAUCGAUAUAUCAUGAGUACCUAAUAGCAUUAUAAUCUUAUUUAUUUGCAGGUUAAAUUGUUUUACACAUGGAAUGAAUGGGUUGCUGAUAUGUUGUACUGUUGCUGUGGCAAAGAAAAUUAGUCUACUUCUGCUUGUCAAGUUUGAAAUCUUAAAACCCUGCAGUCAACUUCUGAUAAGCCAACGUUUGAUGUUCUUUUCCCCCGUUGAAAUCGACAUUGUUGGAUUAAAAAUUUAAUAACAUAACCAAAUUAAUUUCCACUCUAAUUACCAUAUGUUAUCAUUGCAAUUAAAUGUUUCAUAUACAAAGCGAUCCAAAAUGUUUGAAUUUAGAACUCUUUUCGACGGGAGGUAGAAAUGUGAAUUAAAAGAUGAAACGGAUCAAUCUAUUUAUUAUCUUGUUUUAUAUAAAAGUCUAUGCUAAUUUCCACGAUAAAAUCAAAAUAAAAGAAUCUCAUUUAAGAAGAGCGUUAUAAAUGUAGUGAUAUAGUGAUAUGCAAACUAACAAAACACGAUUAAGAUGUUAUUUUGUUCUUUGACGAGAAUUUCGCCAACCCCCGGUGAAACCCUUGUCUAUCAAAGCGAUCGCGUGAAGACCUUUUGUGGCUUAUCGGGAUUCCUGCCCCGUUCUAAGAUAGCAUUAAGUGUAAUUAAGUAUACACAUGCAGACUUGAAAACAGCAUCUAUUCGCCUUCUAUGAUAGAGUUAUUUCUUUACUGUACGUGAAAAUCGACGAACAAUAAACCGGUGUAUGCCUUUAUUAUCAUAUGAUUCAUGGUUUUUGUUGUUGCAACCAGCAUCCGAUAUAAAAUAUCUACAAGAAAGAGUCGGAAGACUGUUUUAUUUUGGUAUUGAAUGUUUUUAAAUUUCAGGUAAUAAAAAUUUGAAAAUUAUAAAUCAUAAUGGAUGACUAAAUUUUAUUUAAUCAUUAUCGAAUAUUACUAAUUAUAAAAAUAUAAAUUGAAGAGAAUGUUUGAUAAAUGAUUUGGUAAUAAACGAAAAUGUAAAGUUAAGACAGGGGUCUAUUUCUUCUUUUUAUUUGUAAGGUCUUUUUCGUUUAUUAUAUUUUCUUAAAUAAUGGAAUACAACCUUUUCAAAAACAGAGGAUUGGAAAUACAUGUUGAAAUGCAUAUGUUGUUACGUUUUUCGAUUAACGAUUUAUGAAAUUAUUUAAAACAAAUCAUACUUAUGUAUUCAAAAAAUACAAAAAUAUCAUCUUCUUUCAAAACAAUAGUGUGUCAAUUGAUAAAAGUUAGAUAUAUUCAAAAAAUACAAAAAAAAUUAUCUUCUCUCAAAUCAAUGGUGUGUCAAUUGAUAAAAGUAAGAUAAAAUAGGAUUUUCCGGAAAAAAGUCAGCCAUCUGUAGCGAUUUGACCCUAUGAAACUUUUUGUGCACGUAACGUGUGGUUUGAUCAUUUCAUUAAAAUCCAAAAGUCAAAAACUAAAAACUGAAACUAACAUAAGAGCCAUCGAAAGUAAUAAGGAAUGGGGAAAAGGGGGAGAGUGUAUGUAUCGGGGUGUCGUGUUUAUUUCAAUUGGGAUGUUUGUUUCCGUCUCUUAGCGGCAUGUGAGCGUUCCCAGACCACUUAGGAAAUAGAUUUGAUUCACAAGUGCCGAACAAACUGUUUUUUUUCUAAAACCAAUCGGUACCAAAAAAUGUGCAUUUGAUUAGAAGAUGACAUAUGUUCCCUCUAAUAAAAAUAUUAGAAAAAAGUACUUUCGUAAGAUAUUUUCCGUGUAUUUUCUGUAAGAAGCGCUCAGUCAAAGAAGAACAGACAAUAUACAUCUCCCCUGACAGAAAGGAAAGCAUUUAGCUGGGUACAAAUGUUUCAUAAGCACUUGAGAGAUCACAGUGGGGUCGGGGUGACGCCUGUGUUUGAUUACUAUACAGAGAGAAAUGGUUCUCUCUUGAGAUUUCGACAGCUGACUGCAGGUCGUUUACAAGGAUUCAAAAUGACAGAAAAUGUUACAAGACGCAAAGCUCAAUCAUGCUCUAUUACGACCUACGUGGAUAGUUUUUAAUGAUUUGAUCGGACGAUAAUAAAGAAGCAAUUACCGUUUCUGUAUGAAAUAUAGCGGGAACCUAGCGUGCCCUUCCGGUGAACAAAUUGAAAACCUAACGCAAUUCUUACAAAACGCACACAGAAAGCCAAGUCUUGCUCCACAGUUCCGGCGGAAAAAGGCUACAGAUGCGAUAUAAACCAGUUUCGGGAAUGAAAAUGUUAUCUACUUUGUCAUCAAGAUUACGUUACAUGUUAAAAAAUAUUUUUUUGGCAUGGAGGAAAAAAAUGAACACAGUGUUUUAAAUUUUCUUUUUGUUGGUGUUCUGUGUAGUGAAAGAAAAUAAAAAUAUUUCAUGCAUUCUGUU